UUUUGUUUGUUUUUAUUUUCAAGUUUUGGGGGCACAGGGGAGAGUUGGGGCACAGACCAAGUUGGCUCCAAAUUUCCUAUGUAGCUGAGGAGGAACUAAACACCUUACCCUCCUGACUCCAGCUCUGGGUGGGAUUAUAGACACGUGCCACCACACCCAGCAAGGAUGUGAUUAGGCAGAGACCUGCUAUGUAACUCUGAAUGGCAGGGAACUUACUCUGUAGCUUGCCUAACUGACUCACCCUUCAAGUGCUUGGAUUAUAGGCAGGAGCCACCACGCCUGGAUAACGAGGACAUUUUUUAGGCUACUUCCUUACAGCCAACAUUGUGGAGACUGGCAAUUGACUCUUGACCCUCUUGGCUCCAGUUCACAAGUGCAAGUAACAGAAUUACAACAGGUUUGUGUGAUGUUGAGACUCAAACCCAGAGUCUUCUGCAGACUAGGUAAGUACUAAACUAUAGCCCAAGGCUGGUUUUCUUCUUAAAUCUAAACAGUCUAGCAUUC
RNAcentral lists this long non-coding RNA (504 nucleotides) under Cricetulus griseus (Chinese hamster). RNAcentral's name for it is "lncRNA (ENSCGRG00000024839.1)". Lineage: Eukaryota; Metazoa; Chordata; Mammalia; Rodentia; Cricetidae. The record is from RNAcentral.